UGACAUCGAUUUACAUGGAUAACCGUGGUAAUUCUAGAGCUAAUACAUGCUGGUGUGCCCGACUUUUGCGGAAGGGCGGUAUUUAUUAGAUAACAAGCCAAUAUUCCUCUGGCCUAUUGUGGUGACUCAUAAUAACUGAUCGAAUCGCAAGGCCUGUGGCCGCGAUAAGUCAUUCAAGUUUCUGCCCCAUCAGCUUUCGAUGGUAGUGUAUUGGACUACCAUGGCGUUUACGGGUAACGGAGGAUUAGGGUUCGAUUCCGGAGAGGGAGCCUGAGAAACGGCUACCACAUCUAAGGAAGGCAGCAGGCGCGUAAAUUACCCAAUCCUGACUCAGGGAGGUAGUGACAAGAAAUAACGGACCGAGGCCCUCGGGCUUCGGGAUUGCAAUGAGCCGAAUUUACACCCCUUAGCGAGGAUCGAUUGGAGGGCAAGUCUGGUGCCAGCAGCCGCGGUAAUUCCAGCUCCAAUAGCGUAUAUUAAAGUUGUUGCAGUUAAAAAGCUCGUAGUUGGAUUUCUGGGAGGGUGCCAAUGUCCGCCGACGUGCGUGCGCAGCGGCGCCCUUCCAUCCUUCUGUUAACGCCUCUUGGCAUUCAUUUGCUGGUGGCGGGCUCAGAUAUUUUACCUUGAGAAAAUUAGAGUGUUUCAGGCAGGCUAGGCCGGAAUACAUUAGCAUGGAAUAAUGGAAUAGGACUACGGUCUCUUUGUUGGUUUGAGGGACUGCAGUAAUGAUUAAUAGGGAUAGUUGGGGGCAUUAGUAUUUAAUUGUCAGAGGUGGAAUUCUCGGAUUUGUUAAAGACUAACUUAUGCGAAAGCAUUUGCCAAGGAUGUUUUCAUUAAUCAAGAACGAAAGUUAGGGGAUCAAAGACGAUCAGAUACCGUCCUAGUCUUAACCAUAAACUAUGCCGACUCGGGAUCGGGGGCGCGAACUAUCCGCCUUCGGCACCGUAUGAGAAAUCAAAGUCUUUGGGUUCUGGG
This 975-nucleotide ribosomal RNA is filed under the name uncultured eukaryote. Its description in RNAcentral is "SSU rRNA". It matches the Rfam family "Eukaryotic small subunit ribosomal RNA", at positions 122 to 1118 of the family's 1831-position model. The record is from RNAcentral.